CGCUAGGAGUCAGACACGACUUCACUUCCACGCAUUGGAGAAGGAAAUGGCAACCCACUCCAGUGUUCUUGUCUGGAGAAUCCCAGGGACCGGGGAGCCUGGUGGGCUGUCGUCUAUGGGGUCGUACAGAGUCGGACACGACUGAAAUGACUUAGCAGCAGCAGCAGCAGGUUGGGGGGGUUCCCUGGCUGACCAGGGAUUAAGAGUCUGUUCUUCCACCACAGGGGGCAUGGGUUUGCUCCUUGGUCAGGGCACUAAGCUCCCACAAGCCACAUGGCGUGGCCAAAAAAAAGCAUACUGAGAGCCUAGCAAUGGGGUGAGGCCAGAGGUCUUGGGUCCUCUGUGAAAGGCAUGUGCUGGUCAAGGAUGUGGUGAACGCAGGAGAUGGGAUGGGGCUGGGUCCCUAAGUGAUGAAAUUUGGGGUUCACCAAUCUAUUUUUACAAAUGAUGGAAACUGUAGAAGUAGAAAUAUGUAAGCAACACCAUCAAGAUGGGGCGUCAUUUGACCCUCUAACCCGAAUUCAGUCCAUCUGAGCUCCUGUCCAGCCAGGUCUCUGCCGCCUGGAGCCCCUCCCCUCCAGCGGGUGCCCCGCCCCACUCUCCCCUCUCCAACCGCCAACCGCCACCCGCCGCGAGCCCUACCUCUGCCCGGGCUCCUAACGUGCCUACUCGCGCCCCCCCUCGAGGCUCAGCCGGUACAGCCAGGACGGGCAGGGGUCGACACCCUGCCACCCCAGCUCCAGACCCAGGUCCACGGCCUCCCCGCCAGGAACCUGGGGACCCACUUGAUUCCGUUUCGCUCCCAGAAGAAGAGGUUAUCCCUGAAGGCGCGGUUGAUGUCUACGUCAAUGUGCUUGACGUCAGGACAGCACCGCCGGGCCUGCUCUUUUAUGCUCUUUUGUGGGCGGGGCCGAGGGGGCGGGGCCAACGUCAGGCGGCCCUGACCCGCUGGANNNNNNNNNNNNGGCGCGGCGCGGCCGGAGGGACCGCAGCUCUUUUCUGCAGAAACCUCAUUCCGCUUGUUUCUGAAGCCAUCGGGGCUCACGAGGGACUCCCCCGUCCAAGGCCCAGAACCCCGACCGUUAACAAGGUCCCAGAGCAGAGACCAGGCCUGCCCUCGCACUGGUGGAGGGAUGCCCAUGGAUACCCUUCGGCACAUCUAUGGGGGAGAAGCAGCCCUGAGACAGAUGCAGGCACCACGCCGGGGAGGAGACGGAGCGAGAGGCCUGUGGAAGAUGCUGCAGAGGGGCAGGGUCUUCCUAGAGCUGGGUCUGAUCUUCCCAAACUGGGAGUGGAGAAUAGCCCCAACUGCUCCCUCCCUGUGGGGUCCUGGGCUGGGCUGGCUGCCGCCCUGGCAUCAGAAUCUCUCAAGCCUUGUGGGGCCCAAAGGCUAGCGCCCUGCAGGGUCAGGAUACUCAGCUUUGUACCUUCGUGCUGCCCUGGUAUUUUUGCCAGCUCCUCAGCUUCUUCACCCACUUGUCAGCUCCCCGGAGGUCUUGGGCUUUUUGCUAGAAUAUAGGACAUGGUGGUGUUCUAGCUGCCAGCUCCCUAUGGUGGCAAGAAUGGGCGUGAACUCAAGGGCCCCCAGGACAGGCACAGACCCCUCGCAGACCAAGGACACUUUGACAGUUCUGGGGUGUGGAGCAGUAGGGAACCCCAGCCGCACCCGUGACCUCCUCCCUCCUUCUGCUGGUACAGCACGCGUGGAGUCUUACCCUCACUGAGUGAGUGCUGAGGCCUCAGAUACUGAAGCCCUGGAGACUAGGUGGGUUUUCCUGACUGGAGGGCAAGAGAAACAAGGUGUUAGGUACUGACCCAGCUGGAGGCCCAGAAGGCACCACCCACCCACUCAACCCCCAAGUCAGUCCAGGAGACUCGAAGGGAGGGCUGAUCCCCCCCCAGGGUGCUGGCUUCAGGGUGGGCUGCAUCCUGGAGACGCUCUAGGGGUGGGGGUGCCAUCAGGCCAUCGGGGGACCCACAAGGAAGGCUCGGCCCCCACAUUGGAGGGUCCUCCCGUAGAGGGCGGCUGUGUUCCGCUGUGCACCACCCCUGGGGGUCAUCUGUCCCAACAGAGUUCCAGGGAGCGCCCCAGCUAGGGGCGCUCACCACAGGGCACCCUGACCGCCUUCAUGCGGCUGGCACUCCCUCCUCCGUGGCCUGUGCUCCACGCUCAGGCCCGCUUCCUCCUGUGCACCUUGAGGAUGGUGUAGGCCAUGGCUGUGAGCAAGUGCCCACCCUCCAGGAUGGAGGCCUCCCAGAGCCUCAGGGUCAGCGGAAAGGGGGGGUCUGUGGGGACAGUGGGCAUGGGCGGGGCCACUUGAGCAGGGCAC
This is a long non-coding RNA of Bos mutus (wild yak), 2330 nucleotides long. Lineage: Eukaryota; Metazoa; Chordata; Mammalia; Artiodactyla; Bovidae. The record is from Ensembl.